UUAAUAUUUAAGAUAUAUCCUGCUCAAUGAUAGUAAUUAAAUAGCUGCAGUAUUCUAACUGUACAAAGGUAGCAUAAUAGAUUGUUUUUUAAUUGAAGACUAGAAUGAAUGGAUGAACGUAAUUAAGACUGUUUCUAUUAUAUUUUUAUAAAUUGAUAUUUUAGUGAAAAAGCUAUAAUAUUAUUAAAAGACAAUAAGACCCUUAGAGCUAUUAUUAAUAUAAUAUGUUAUGUAAAUAAAUUUAAUUUUGACUGGGGUGGUUUAGGAAUAUAAUUAACUUCCUAUUUUAGUAUGAUGGUUUAAUCUAUUAAUGAAAAAUUUAAAAUUUUAGAUUAGUUACCUAAGGGAUAACAGAUUAAUUUUUUUAGAGAGUUCUUAUUGAUAAAAUAGAUUAAUACCUCGAUGUUGGCUUAAAAUAACCUUUAAAUGCAGAAGUUUAAAAGGUUGGUUUGUUCAACCAUUAAAAUUUUACGU
RNAcentral lists this ribosomal RNA (474 nucleotides) under Sphaerodoropsis cf. longianalpapilla MC-2015. RNAcentral's name for it is "partial 16S ribosomal RNA". It matches the Rfam family "Bacterial large subunit ribosomal RNA", at positions 1840 to 2601 of the family's 2925-position model. The record is from RNAcentral. Lineage: Eukaryota; Metazoa; Annelida; Polychaeta; Phyllodocida; Sphaerodoridae.